This is an RNA transcript of Nymphaea colorata (pocket water lily), 3035 nucleotides long. RefSeq lists it as uncharacterized. NCBI's taxonomy places the organism in Eukaryota, Viridiplantae, Streptophyta, Magnoliopsida, Nymphaeales, Nymphaeaceae. The transcript has 8 exons. The record is from RefSeq and is a predicted model, not a curated record.
AUCGUCCCUCGAGCUGCAGCUCGACUUCGUUCAGACUCUUAUUCUUAAGUUGGGCCGCGACGAGUCUCCAUCUCGACCGGCUGGCUCCCUCCCUCGAGUACCGAAGAACGUUGGUUCCCCAAAAUAACAGGGGUAGAGCUUCGAGGCAAACCGUGGUUUUCGAGAUGGACGGCUGCCAUUCUGGCCGUAUCAGUAACACAGGCUUCCCGCUACUGCGUGCCUUGAGACCACUGAGCAGUCACAUCUCCUACGUCCUCACGCUGUACUGUUUCUGAUUUUUGAUUGCCCUCAAUCACUGUAUCCACCACAAUGGAAGUUGAAUUCCGGUUCCCCAUUUCCUUUUCCUGUUUAUUCAGAAGUCAUGGAUCAAACGAGUGAUUGAGAAGAGUGAGGAUGGGCCUUGAUAUGGUUAAGACUAACAAUGAUGCGGUGCCGUGGGGUUUGGGACAGAUGAUGUGGGUGAAGAUUCGGGAAGGGCUAUGGUGGCCUGCUCAGAUUGUGCAUGAGAAUCCACCAGGUGCAAAGAAUGCAAUCAAUAAAAGAUUUGAUGGAGCGGUUCUUGCACGUGUAUAUGGAAGCAAUCAACAUUUAUAUGUGGACCCAAUGAUGGAUCAGUCUGAGUUAAACAGUAUCAUUGAGCAGAAUAAUGGUGAUCGAAAAGUGACCUUCCAGAAGUUCAUGGAGCAAGAACUUAAUCUCAUAAAAACGCAGAUGGCAAAUUCUUCCAAAUUAAAAGAUGAAGCUAAGACACCUAAUGACAAGAAGCAGAAUCCAAAAGCAUUCAUUAGUAGGAAGAGGAAACGAGAAGCAUCCAAUGCAGAGAAAACUGAACCUAGAACACCCGUUAGGAAGGAGCGGAAGCUACAGACAUCCAUUGGCGAACAGAAGCAAGAACCAAACAGUAACAGGAAGCAGAAGGAAGAGGCAUUCAGUACAGAAAAAAAAGAAGCUACAGUACCUGUUGAAAAGACUCAGGAGCCUGGUGGUAGGAAGCUGCGGCAGAAUGUGUCGAAUAUAGGGAAGAAUGAAUCUAAAAGACCAGUUAACAAGCAGACUAGAAAAGCAUCUAAUAACAGGAAGCAGGAACAAGAUGUGUUGAAUGCUGAACAGCAUGAAUCUGAAACACCUGUUGGCAAGAAGCAGGAACGGGGAGCAUCCGGUAGCAGAAAGCAGAAGCAAGAAGCAUCCAGUGCAGAAAAAAAUGAAGCUAAAGCACAUGUUGAAAAGAAGGAUAAGUCUAGUAGCACGAAGCAGAAUGAACCUGAAACACCUGUUGACAAGAAGCAGAAACGAGGUGCAUCCAGUAGCAGAAAGCAGAAGCAAGAAGCAUCCAGUACAGAAAAAAAUGAAGCUAACAUGCCAGUUGAAAAGAAGUCCAGUACCAGGAAGAAGAAGCAGGAUGCCUCCAGUGCAGAAAACAAUCAAGCUAAGAGGCCGGUUGAGAAGAAGCAGACUAGACAAGCAUUCAUUAAUAAGAACGAGAAACAAGAGGUAUGGAAUACCAAAAAGGAUGAAGCUAAAACACCUGUUGCCAAGAAGCAGAACCCCAAAGCAUCCAGUAGCAGGAAGCAGAAGCAAGAAGCAUCCAGUGCAGAAAAAAAUGAAGCUAAAACACAUGUUGAAAAGAAGGAGAAGUCUAGUAGCACGAAGCAGAAUGAACCUGAAACUCCUGUUGACAAGAAGCAGAAACGAGGAGCAUCCAGUAGCAGAAAGCAGAAGCAAGAAGCAUCCAGUACAGAAACAAAUGAAGAUGAAAUGCCUGUUGAAAAGAAGUCCAGUAGCAGGAAGCAGAAGCAGGAUGCCUCCAGUGCAGAAAACAAUCAAGCUAAGAGGCCGGUUGAGAAGAAGCAGACUAGACAAGCAUUCAGUAAUAAGAACAAGAAACAAGAGGUAUGGAAUACCAAAAAGGAUGAAGCUAAAACACCUGUUGCCAAGAAGCAGAACCCCAAAGCAUCCAGUAGCAGGAAGCAGAAGCAAGAAGCAUCCAGUACAGGAAAAAAUGAAGCUAAAACACCUCUUGGCAAGAAGAAGAAAGAAGCAUCCAAUCCGGGUAAAAGUGAAUCUAAGACAUCUGUUAACAGAAAGAAGAAACCAGAUGCAUCUGGUGAAGCAACUGUGAAUGGAAAUCAGAUGCAAGAAGCUCAAAAUGCUGAAAAGGCCACUGAAGAUAAAACAUCUGUUGGCAAGAAGCAGAAGAAAGAAGCAUCUAGUGGAGGUAAAAAUGAGGUGAAAACAUCUGUUAAUAGAAGGAAGAAACGAGAUGCAUCUGGUGAAUCACCUCUGGAGGAGAAGCAGAAGCAAGAGGCUCAAAACACAGAAAAAUCCACUGAAGUUAAAACACCUGUAAACAAGAAGCAGAAACAAGAAGCAUCCAGUAGCAGGAAGCAGAAGCAAGAAACAUCCACUGAGAAGAAGAAAUCUGUCCGUGGCAGGAAGCGGAAGCAAGAUACAUCCAAUUCAGUUCCGAAUGGCAUGGAUAUUUCAGUUCCAGUAAGUCUUGACCUGAAUAUGCCAUAUUCUUUAAGAAAGCCGAGAAUCAACCAAAAUUAAAUGGCCAUUUUACUUUGCUGCUUUUUUGGGUUUAUUUAGGCUUCAUAUGUGAACCUUUUCUAAGCAACGACUGACAUCAGUUUCAGCUAACUGCAUUUCACAACUUUAAUUGGUUCUUGAAAAGGAGAAAAAAGUUCUGUUGAACUCUCUUCAAUUCAAUCGGCUGUUGACCCUGCUUUGGCUUGUUCAAACAAAAGCUCCUUAUAAUCUGGUGCUCCUGUCAUUCAGAAGGAUGAGCAAGUCUUCCUUUCUGGUUCUUUAGGUGGAGGAUCCUUCAGAAGGUAUCUCAGAUCAAAGAGCGAGGAAAAUAAGGGUGAUGCAGUCCCUUGCUCUUGUUGCUCCAUCUGGUUCACCAUUCAGGUGGCCGACCAGCCAAGAGGCACAAGAGUAGUAUGGCUACAACAUUUUCCAUUUUGAUUGUAGAUAUUUGUAAGCAACCUUCACGAACUGAUCUAUUAUCUUGAGCAGUUUCUUGAGUACACCUA